CACUUAUCAAGAGUGGACCGAGAGAUCUGGAUCGAUGACGUCCCAGCAACCUGCGCACAGCAAGGUGCUACGACCAGCAAAGCGAAAGCUUUGGUUGAUAAAAA
This 104-nucleotide non-coding RNA is filed under the name Exiguobacterium artemiae 255-15. RNAcentral describes it as "Exiguobacterium sibiricum 255-15 SAM riboswitch aptamer (S box leader)". It matches the Rfam family "SAM riboswitch aptamer (S box leader)". Rfam says of the family: The SAM riboswitch is found upstream of a number of genes which code for proteins involved in methionine or cysteine biosynthesis in Gram-positive bacteria. The SAM riboswitch acts at the level of transcription termination control. Lineage: Bacteria; Bacillati; Bacillota; Bacilli; Caryophanales. RNAcentral also lists the same sequence under 1 other name. The record is from Rfam by way of RNAcentral.